Molecule: long non-coding RNA, 2650 nt
Organism: Humulus lupulus (European hop)
Lineage: Eukaryota; Viridiplantae; Streptophyta; Magnoliopsida; Rosales; Cannabaceae
Exons: 4
Source: RefSeq, a predicted model, not a curated record
UUCCUCCCUCCCUACCCAUCCACUUUCCUUUCUCCCUCUCUCUCUCGCAUGCUCUCUGCUAUCCCGAACGGCUGCCCUCCGAUGGUCGCCGCCGUGUAGGCACCGGAUCAAGAGUACCAGACACCGCCGAAACUCCAGCCUCACGAGCCCUUCGUUGCCGUUCUCCACUGCGAGCAGAAGCCUCCAGGCUCGUACGUCACCGCCGUGGCUUCAAGGCCAAUUUCUGGCCUCCUCUGACAUCGUCUCAGGCGAAGGGUACCGUGGGUGAACUCAGGGUAUCAAGACGAACAAAGCCCAUCCAAGGAUCGGGAUUUUAAGUGACCGAAGGAGACGGAAUCAGCUCUCCAUUUGCUGCUUGUAGUCUUCUUCUCGAGACCAGGUUCUAAAUGUCAUGUUCAUCCACAUGAGAGGGGUAUAGUUGAUUUCCACCCUAUAUAUUGGAUCUAUGAAACCAAUUACUUAUGCGGUUCCAUAUAAUUAACGACAGUUGACCAAUCAAGAUUUAGAAGGACUCGAGUUACUGAGGGUGGUAUGAUUCUUUUUGCAGCCAUCAUUGUUGUGCCUGCUCUUAUUAUGACUUUUAUUUGUGAAUGUGUUUUGAUUAUUAGGAAAGAUCUCCUUUUGAAAAGCGUUCUCUCAUAUAUACAUAUAUAUAAAUAUAUAUAGGCAUGUGUUCUAUUCAGAUAAAUUUGAACCAUCUAAGAUUACUACUAAGCACACCCAAAGCUUCACCCUAUCAACCCAAGACCUUUAAUUAUAGGCACACCCUAUAACCAUUUAAUCUUGGUUGUAUGUAGUACAAGAAAUGACCCACCAGUCACAUCUACAAUUGGCUAACCAACAUAAUUAAUUGUUACAUCAUAUAAGAGGGAUCAUAGAAUAUAUAUUUAUAUAUAUUGAUUGUUGUACGUUCAUUUGGCUUUGAUCAACAGUAGCAGUUUUAUAAGCUUAGGACACACAAUUACACAGGUAAUCCUUGAAUUAAGGUACUGUAUCAACUUGCAUUUAUUAUGAUUCUUGAACCAUUUUUCCCUCCAUUAACUGAGUGAUGUAGAUUGAUGGUCAUGGAGAUUAAUUGUCAUUGGAAGCCUACUUUUUUCUGUAAAUUUCUACAAAAUUUACUAUGAAAUGUAUUGUUAUGAACUUAUGGCAUAUACUAUGGUGGAAGUUCAGUACAUUUCAAGGAGCUGUAACUAUGUCUGGUGUGGUAGGGUGUUAAGUCUUUGUAUUGCUGUUUAUUUCUCUGUUCCGUUAGUCUUUGUAUUCUGUUAGUUCACUUUCUUUUCAGUGUAAUUCCCAGGUGUAGGUCCGGGUGUAUUUUGUCUGUUCUAGUUCUUGUUGGCUGGUUCAGAUAUCUCUGUUGUGUUAUUAAUAUAUUUGGUUGCUAUGUUUGGCACCAGUUAUUAAAAACAAAAAAGAUAUCUAAACUCUACUACUGAUCAUGUGAUUCUAGUUUUUUUUCCUGUAUCCAAGAUACAAGAAUUGUUAACUGAGUUGUGAUGAGUAAACUUUAUUUAAUUGGAGUUUCUCAUUGGCAGUUGAAACUUUAUUUAGUCUUUCUUCACUCUAUUAUUCAUCAUGGUUUUUGUAAGUGUUGAUGAUUUUUAAUUUAGAAAAUAAUUAAUUUUGCUCUGUGAUUCCAUGGUAAAAAUUCUUCUUCGUGUAUGACUUGUUUUUUUUUUUAUCGUUUAAGAAUAAAAAGGCUACUUUUAAUGGCCAAUUCAAUUUCGUCUUGUGGGCAAUGUUUCUUUAUAAUAAUAUAUCUUGUUAUAUAUAAAAUUGGCUCGUUGAUAGCAGAAGUAUCAUAUAUAUUUUUUUUCUCAUUAGACUCUACAUAAUGUUUAACUCUGUUGUGAUUAUAGUUUUAGGAACCAACCAAUAAAUGUAAAACCAAUGGUAUAAUACCAUCUCUUGUGUUUUUGCAAUUGUUUUAUCUUUUGGGCCAUUAAAUCUAACAGCCCAUUCAUGAUAUAUAUAUGUAUGGUUUUUUUUUUUAACUCAAUUAGUUUUACUCAUCUGAAAUAUACAAAGUAUAAAUAAUAUGUAUGGCUUAUUCCAGACUUGAUCAUUGUACAUUAUCUCAAUUGAACUUACUUGUAUGUAGAUAUAUUCUGACAUGAGUGUGAAAAUUACCAAGUAGUUUAGUUGCCAAAUAUAAUCAGAAGACUUUUAUUUAGCAAGUUUUCUAGCAUGUGGAUUUUCAUGGAGUGCUUCAUCACAUUUUUUCCUUUGUUUUUUCAUAUAAUCUUAACAUUUGACCGUCUAAUUAACAAUUAAGUUGAUUAUAGAAUUUUAAAUAACAUGACUUGGAGUAAUAACAUGAUAUGGAACAUACAUCUAACUUUUUUAUUUUUUAUAAUGUUGAUAAUAAUGUUUAGGUUAAUAUUUUGACUGGUCUUAAAGCAUUGGAUCGGUAGCUAAUUGCAAGAGGGAUGAUUUUAGAAAGAAAUUCAUGGCAGUCAAUCCUUACUUUAGAAAGACAGUGACGAGGGUGAGUACAAGGACAAGAAGAAAGAAGAAAUAUAUAUAUGUAGUUUGACAAUGAAUUUAGUGUUUUAUUAUAUUUGUAAUUUUUAUUAGAGUAAAUGAUUCUUGUUUGAAUGGUGAAUUAUUUACUUUGUAAAUAUAGUUAUAUAUUUUUCAAGGUCAA